GGGACCUACGGGGGGCAGCAGUGGGGAAUAUUGCACAAUGGGGGAAACCCUGAUGCAGCGACGCCGCGUGAGUGAAGAAGUAUUUCGGUAUGUAAAGCUCUAUCAGCAGGAACGAGACAAGACGGUACCUGACUAAGAAGCCCCGGCUAACUACGUGCCAGCAGCCGCGGUAAUACGUAGGGGGCAAGCGUUAUCCGGAUUUACUGGGUGUAAAGGGAGCGUAGACGGCAUUGCAAGUCUGAUGUGAAAGAUUGGGGCUCAACCCCAGGCCUGCAUUGGAAACUGUAAAGCUGGAGUACAGGAGG
This 305-nucleotide ribosomal RNA is filed under the name uncultured bacterium. RNAcentral's name for it is "bacterial SSU rRNA". It matches the Rfam family "Bacterial small subunit ribosomal RNA", at positions 332 to 655 of the family's 1533-position model. The record is from RNAcentral.